This 21-nucleotide non-coding RNA is filed under the name Arabidopsis thaliana (thale cress). The record is from RNAcentral. Lineage: Eukaryota; Viridiplantae; Streptophyta; Magnoliopsida; Brassicales; Brassicaceae.
UGCACGGACAUAGUAUUUAUU